UACAGAGGGUGCAAACGUUGCUCGGAAUCAUUGGGCGUAAAGCGCACGUAGGCGGCCUAGCAAGUAGGGAGUGAAAGCCCUCGGCUUAACCGAGGAAGUGCUUUCUAAACUACUAGGCUUGAAUACUGGAGAGGGUCGCGGAAUUCCCGGUGUAGAGGUGAAAUUCGUAGAUAUCGGGAGGAACACCAGUGGCGAAGGCGGCUAUCUGGACGGUUUCUGACGCUAAGACGCGAAAGCGUGGGGAGCAAACAGG
RNAcentral lists this ribosomal RNA (253 nucleotides) under uncultured bacterium. RNAcentral's name for it is "partial 16S ribosomal RNA". It matches the Rfam family "Bacterial small subunit ribosomal RNA", at positions 524 to 776 of the family's 1533-position model. The record is from RNAcentral.